GGGAUUGUGGCUCAGUGGUAGAGCGCUUGCCUAGUAUGUAUGAGGCACUGGGUUCAAUUCUCAGCACCA
RNAcentral lists this transfer RNA (69 nucleotides) under Ictidomys tridecemlineatus (thirteen-lined ground squirrel). RNAcentral describes it as "Spermophilus tridecemlineatus (thirteen-lined ground squirrel) tRNA". It matches the Rfam family "tRNA". From Rfam's summary of the family: Transfer RNA (tRNA) molecules are approximately 80 nucleotides in length. The record is from Rfam by way of RNAcentral. Lineage: Eukaryota; Metazoa; Chordata; Mammalia; Rodentia; Sciuridae.